GAUGAACGCUGGCGGCGUGCCUAAUACAUGCAAGUCGAACGGACAUGUAGCAAUACAUGUUAGUGGCGAACGGGUGAGUAACGCGUUGGUGACCUGCCCCGAAGUGUGGGAUAACAGUUCGAAAGAACUGCUAAUACCGCAUGUGGUGCCAGGACUUAGAAACCGGUCACUAAAGGAGUAAUUCGCGUCGGGAUGGACCUGCGUCCCAUCAGCUAGUUGGUAGGGUAACGGCCUACCAAGGCGUCGACGGGUAAGGGACCUGAGAGGGUGGUCCCUCACAAUGGCACUGAAACACGGGCCAUACACCUACGGGUGGCAGCAGUAGGGAAUAUUGGGCAAUGGGCGAAAGCCUGACCCAGCAACGCCGCGUGUGCGACGAAGGUCUUCGGAUCGUAAAGCACUUUUCUGGGAGAUGAGAAAGGACAGUAUCCCAGGAAUAAGUCUCGACUAACUACGUGCCAGCAGCCGCCGCCG
This 474-nucleotide ribosomal RNA is filed under the name uncultured bacterium. RNAcentral describes it as "partial 16S ribosomal RNA". It matches the Rfam family "Bacterial small subunit ribosomal RNA", at positions 28 to 523 of the family's 1533-position model. The record is from RNAcentral.